Long non-coding RNA from Stomoxys calcitrans (stable fly), 593 nucleotides. RefSeq lists it as uncharacterized. The record is from RefSeq and is a predicted model, not a curated record. NCBI's taxonomy places the organism in Eukaryota, Metazoa, Arthropoda, Insecta, Diptera, Muscidae. The transcript is spliced from 3 exons.
AUUAUUCAGUUUGAGGCUUCUUUGGCUGGCAAAGAUAAAAAAAGCACUCGAGAAAUAUGGUGUGGUGUGUGGUGCGAUGCAGUGAAUUGCGGUGUGGUGUGGUGUUGAAAAAUGAAAUCGACCAAAGGGCUCAACCACACAAAUAAUUUGGUGUAUGGAAAUUUUUAUGACAUUGCAUUACGAAUUGCAGUAAAUAAAUCCAAGUUCUUGAACUCUUGAAUGCCACAAGUAAAAGACUCGCAUAAAGUUGUAGGGUUUCUCUGCAUGUUGCGGAACAAACAUGCCAUUCACUACAACAAUGCAGAAAAAAUUUCAAUAAAUGUGGACAUUUGCUUUUUCACUUCACAAGCAUGAAGACAAAUAUGCUUAAAGUUCCUGCAACAUAAAUAAUUGUAAUGCAUGUAAACUGCUAGCGCAUGGAAGAAUGCUUACUACGAGGGGUCUUAGAGUGCAAGACUGUCGACUGGAAAUUCCAGUGAGAAAAUUUUAUUGAAAGUUUGCUGAACAUUUUGGGGAAAGUUUCAAAAAAAAAUCGUUUUUGGAGAGAAUUUCAAGAAAAUUUUGCAUUUAAAUAAAACUGCAUUGGAAUUUUG